UAACAACAAAACAUAGGUUCUUUCAACUUUCAAUUUUCUGCGCAUGUGCCAGAAACUCUACGUCACGAUGACGUACUAUUUUAACGAAUUUGAGCCAGACGCGCCAUCGCCAUUUUCUACACGAGAAGACGAGAUCACGACGACACUAGUUGCUGAUGCGAGGAAAAAGACGAAGGAGCUCGUAUUUGAAUGUCUACAGAUGGAUUUUUAUAUAAAGUCUAGAAAAGGAAAGAGCAAAUGGCUGUGGAGAUGAUGACUCCAGACAUUACAUUUGUUGAUGCUGCUAUGAGCAGCACGUAUUCUUUGAGAAGGCAAGAAGUCGUUGAUGAGGAGCCACCAGUGUCACAAAUGAAAAUCCGAUGGCCAGCAAUUUUCACUGAGAGACAGAUCAGCAAAGAAUUCACCAGGCUUGUGUCAAAGGAUCUGAGCAAGUCCUUUUUGGAAGGUCUUAGAUGGUCAUCUCUCGAAGCUGAUACAGUUAUUCCUAACAAAGCGUUAUGAGGACAUUCCAGAAAUGACUUCAAUACUGGAGAGCCUUGAUAAGAAUACAACAAACCAAAGAAUGAGGACUGCAGCAUUGCUUGGCUUGCCGUGGUAUAUGCGAGAGACUCCUUCUAAAUUCAUGAAGAUAUGUGAGCCCAGUGACCGUGAAGAGGAUGUGAUCAAGGGUGUGGUGAUCGGAAUCCUAGUGGUUGUGGAAAAUGUGAUGGAGCCUCUCCCAGAAUUCUACAAUGACGUUGCCCUGGUGAUUGAGGAAGAAGUGGUGAUGCGUCACCUGAGUGACAUACCUAAUGCUUUUCUGAACCUGAUGGGCCUGGUGUAUGCAUUAAACCUCGAUAACCUAAGGAAUUAAAAUUCACUUUUGAAGUGAUACAGCGCCUGUUCAUUGGAGUUGGAUCAGACUCAUGCACCGCAAGAGUUCACUCUUUGAAGAGCAAGUUGCUGAGAUAAGAAACUAUUUUCUCCUUCUUGCUACUAUUAGCACUUAAACCGUUACACUGUUUUAAAUAUUAAGACCAUUGUUAUUUUAGAUUUCAUUGUUUUAAGUGUAACAUUGGUAUUCUUGAAUUGCUUUUGAAACAGACUGUUUUCUUGUUUCCUUGUCCUGCUUGACGUUUGAUUGGGAAUUGAAGAAUUUUAUUUGAAGUUGUUAAACAGCUUAUAGUGAAUUCUUCAUGUACUCCUGUUCCUGCAAUGAAAAUAUCUGAUAGUGACAAGGAGAGUUAUUUGUACUAUUCUCUAAGAAUGGGUCUGUGCAUGAAGAAGUUUGCACAUGCUUGUGUGAGCUGAAUAUAUGUGAGGGUUUUUCUUGUGAUGUUUUCAUAUCUUUGCAAGCUAAUAGUUUUUGGGUGCAGUGCAUCUGUUUAAAAAAAUAA
Molecule: long non-coding RNA, 1376 nt
Organism: Carassius gibelio (silver crucian carp)
Lineage: Eukaryota; Metazoa; Chordata; Actinopteri; Cypriniformes; Cyprinidae
Exons: 5
Source: RefSeq, a predicted model, not a curated record